Molecule: unclassified non-coding RNA, 916 nt
Filed under: Hevea brasiliensis (rubber tree)
Lineage: Eukaryota; Viridiplantae; Streptophyta; Magnoliopsida; Malpighiales; Euphorbiaceae
Source: RNAcentral
UAUCUUUUUUUUUUUGAGACAAAAAGUUAUUGUUUUUAGAUCUGUUGGAAUGUUGAAAAGCUGGUUUAUAAAGCAAGUUCAAAAAUUUUGGCAAGCACAUGCGUUUUGGAUUUGUAUGGUGCACGCAUUGGUUCAUGUCACUCUUUUCUCACUGUUUCACUCUUUUCUGUGUGAAAUUGUAUAGUUGAACCUUCUAUAUUUCCUUGCUUCUACCUCUCUCCCUCUCUCUCUCUCUAUGUGGUGCUGGUUGGCAAGGUGUUUUACUUGAUUACACGUGAUAUGUGCUAUGCUAAGUUAUCAAAGGCUUCAAAUAUGCCCUAUGUUAUUGCAAAUGAUUUGUGGGAUUUCAAGACAAUGGUGUCAAGAUUUAAUGGCAUGGUGAAGUUGUAGCAUUGGCCUCACCAUUAUGGCAUAUGAAUGCUAGACCACCAAAAUUUCACCCUUGUUUCAAUCAAUUGAUGUCCCCUCUCCAAAAAGUCUCUUCAUUCUGAAUACUUCUCACUGAUGUUUCAACUUGGUAUUAAUGCUGAAUCUUGUUCUUUAAAUUAAUACAACUUGACAUUCUCAUGGAGUUGCUCACUUUCAUCCAUAAUGAGUUGUUGAUGAUAGCUUGUUGCCUCUCAUUACUUGCAACUGUGUGCAUGCUCUUAAAAGCCAAGCUUCUCUGUGGGCAUAUGAAUGUGUCCAUGCAAGUAUGCCAAUAAGGUGGACAGGCAGGCAUGUGUUCUCCAUCUGUUUUUUGACUGUUGGUUUCAAAUAUCAUACUUGUCUGGCAGUCUCAUAAUUUUGGCAUCUAUCCAUGCAAUUUUAGCUUUUAAAUUUUAUUUUCUAAUUCUUCCAACUGAUCAACUCCUUAAUUCUCCUUUGCACAUACAUUAUCAUGUGCUUCAGCUCAAUCAUUUGAUGAAGAAUCUAG